Molecule: long non-coding RNA, 1323 nt
Organism: Gallus gallus (chicken)
Lineage: Eukaryota; Metazoa; Chordata; Aves; Galliformes; Phasianidae
Source: Ensembl
CCCUCAGUAUACCCCAGGUGCCCCAUUCCAGCACAGAUGAAGGCUUGAUGCUGCAGUAAAGGCUUUUUGCUGCACUGCCCCACAGUGAUGCCGGUGUUACUCAGUGCCAGCAGUGCUGCUGUCAAAUGGAUCAGGGAAUCAGGGCUGUGCUGUUGUCCUUAAGGAACACUUUUCAUGAUGGUCUGCUUUUGGAAUUGCUGCCAAAAUACAUCUGGGAGAAAGAAAAUGAAGGAUCAAUGCUGUUUCACACUCAAUCAUGUGGCAUUUCCCAAAUGGUCUGUAGCACAUUAACUGCUCCUAGUGUGCCUUGGGCAAAUGGCUUGUGUUUGUAAUGGUCCCAGUGAAGGAUGGCGCAUUUGACACAGCAAGCCGGGACUAAGGUCACCGCACUUCACCCUGGGUGCAGCUCCUGGGGCUACCAAGUGCCUUCACUCUCCACGUUCUUCACUUGGAUGCUGUCACAGCUGCUUUGAGUAUUUCAGGAGGCCCUGCUUCUGCAGUGUUCACUGCCCCGUUAUGCGUGAGAGCUCCCUUCCCCAUGUUGGGGUUAGCUUCACACACUUAUACGCAGUUUUACAUGCAUGCCAAUGGCCAGGACCAGAGGGCGGGCUCUGUGAUCUCCUCCAGAAGAAGACCCGGGCACACAGGGCAGGAAGGGAGUCGAGCUGCACCUUGUUGGCUGCUCAAAUGGACACUGACCCCAUACAGCGCUGGUGCUGCUGUAUACCCAGCACACAGUCUGAGCUGUGUUUUCACGUGGCACAGAAAAGUCUGUGUAUGUUUCCCAAGCACAUGAUGGGUCUCCAUGGAGGGAAAUCAAUACCAUUAGUAGGGAAACACCGCUUGGUUCCCACUGCCUCCCAGCACCAAUCAAUCUCAGCACAUAGUGCCAUCCCAUCCGCCGACCAGAUGGCAACAUUUAAUGCCUAUAUUUUAUAACCUUUUGUAUGGAAGAGAGGGAAGUGAGCUCUUAGAUAACAGUCCUAAAAACUCAAACUCCCCACGUGUGUCAUUGUCUCCUUUUGGUACCAGUCAUCAGAUUUCACUAUGGAAGCUUGAAAUCUAUGACAGAAACACUGAGAUUGGGCAGAUCUGGGCAUAGCAGCUACAAUUUGCCACCUACUGAAAACUCAGGAAAGCUUUUCCUCCCUUAUAGAAAGCUGCAAAAUCUGAAGACAGCCACACUCUUUCACUGUCACAGAUUAACAGAUGGCUUUACCUGCUGCCCUCGUGAUGUAUCCGAAACUUCCUUUUGUAGCCAAUGUCUUUGAAUGGUAUUAUUCAUACCAAUAAGGGAAAAUAAUAAAAAAUAGCAAUGUUUCU